CCGGCCGGGGCGCGGCUGGCUCCGCGGGUGGGAGCCCGGCAGAGGCCGCGCUCCAGCCCUGCCGUGAGGGAGGGCGCGCUGUGCUCCCGGCCGCGCCGCUCCUGAGCUCCGCUGCUUUCUGGUUUAGCCUCUUUGUUUCCCUUGUCCUGCUGCCAGCAGGGCAGACAGUGCGGGCAGUCAAGGAGCAGCUGCCUGCUGGAGCUCGGAGGCUCACGUCACACGGGCAGGGCUGCCGGGGCACAGCCAGCCGGCGAGGGGGUGAGAUCAGAGAUUUCUGUACCUCAGAGGACUUUGAGACUGGAGCUGAUUGUAGUCUUCACUCUGAAACUUGCUGUGAUCUUUUGUAGUAGCCAUGAAGGAUCUCAAAGGCUAUCAAACAAAGCUGCCCAACCUUACACUCAUCCAUCAUCCUUGAGUUAUUAAGAGAGUAGCUGCAGAACAUUUACAAGUGCAUAGGAUGGAUUGCUGGCUGCUUUUCAAGAACACAGUCAAUGCUACAAAAACUUUGCAAGAUGGCAAAUUUUCUCAUGUUUCCUGUUCCUUGCUCUGCUAGAACCUGCUAGAAGGAAUAGUUUCUUGAAUUUAAGGUUACUAAUCUAGGUUGAUGCCAAAGCUGUUACUCAUUCAUGUCUAA
Vidua chalybeata is the source of this 634-nucleotide long non-coding RNA. RefSeq lists it as uncharacterized. Lineage: Eukaryota; Metazoa; Chordata; Aves; Passeriformes; Viduidae. The transcript has 3 exons. The record is from RefSeq and is a predicted model, not a curated record.